AAGCUUUACUAUCAAGCACUGUGUUUUUUCACCUAUGCUUUCUUGGUUCAUUGAGUCAGAGCUCACUGGUUGAAUAACUAUGCUAUCACAAUUGUAAGAUCCACUAAAAAUUGGUCUCAUGGCAGAUCAUGAUGCAGAAUCUUGCUCCUCAUAUUUUAUAUAUGAUGUUUUUCUGAGCUUUAGAGGCUUCACCCGAUAUGGAUUCACAGAUCGCCUCUAUCAUGCUCUGUGUGAGAGAGGAAUCACCACCUUCAGAGAUGAUGAGAACCUUAGAGUUGGUGAUACUCUUCUUGAAGCCAUUGAAAGAUCCAAGAUAUCUAUUGCUGUGCUGUGUAAGGACUAUGCUUCUUCCACAUGGUGUUUGGAUGAACUAGUACAGAUCAUGAAGUGCUGGAAUAAUGGAAAAAAUCAACCGGUUUUGCCAAUCUUUUAUCAAGUGGAACCAUCAGAUGUGAGGCGCCAGAGGAACCAAUAUGAAAAAGACAUGAUGAAGCAUGAAGACACAUCAAAGACUCCCAUCAUAUAAAAGCAUGGAGGUUGGCUUUGCAUCAAGUGGCCGAUCUAAGCGGAGUGACUUGUAAAGUGAAGAGGCAAAUGACGUGGAAGAAGAAGACAUGACUGACAGACAUGAAACUGAAAAUAACAUUGAGUAUUGGAAGAUGAACGUGGGUUGGAAGAUUAGAGCAAUAGAAGCUGAAAUUAGGAUUUUAAAAGUAUGAAAUAAUAUUUUGAGUUUUUUUCUUGUUUUUUUUUUUGUAGUUGUAACCAUUGGCUAUGUCUUGG
Molecule: RNA transcript, 783 nt
Organism: Arachis duranensis
Lineage: Eukaryota; Viridiplantae; Streptophyta; Magnoliopsida; Fabales; Fabaceae
Gene name: TMV resistance protein N-like
Exons: 3
Source: RefSeq, a predicted model, not a curated record